Trichobilharzia regenti is the source of this 46-nucleotide non-coding RNA. NCBI's taxonomy places the organism in Eukaryota, Metazoa, Platyhelminthes, Trematoda, Strigeidida, Schistosomatidae. The record is from Rfam.
GUACGGGUGAAGAGUCCCAAACCAGGACGAAACAGCUGUCCAGUAC